GAUGAACGCUGGCGGCGUGCCUAAUACAUGCAAGUCGAGCGAACGGACGAGAAGCUUGCUUCUCUGAUGUUAGCGGCGGACGGGUGAGUAACACGUGGAUAACCUACCUAUAAGACUGGGAUAACCUCGGGAAACCGGAGCUAAUACCGGAUAAUAUUUUGAACCGCAUGGUUCAAAAGUGAAAGACGGUCUUGCUGUCACUUAUAGAUGGAUCCGCGCUGCAUUAGCUAGUUGGUAAGGUAACGGCUUACCAAGGCAACGAUGCAUAGCCGACCUGAGAGGGUGAUCGGCCACACUGGAACUGAGACACGGUCCAGACUCCUACGGGAGGCAGCAGUAGGGAAUCUUCCGCAAUGGGCGAAAGCCUGACGGAGCAACGCCACGUGAGUGAUGAAGGUCUUCGGAUCGUAAAACUCUGUUAUUAGGGAAGAACAUAUGUGUAAGUAACUGUGCACAUCUUGACGGUACCUAAUCAGAAAGCCACGGCUAACUACGUG
This 497-nucleotide ribosomal RNA is filed under the name uncultured bacterium. Its description in RNAcentral is "partial 16S ribosomal RNA". It matches the Rfam family "Bacterial small subunit ribosomal RNA", at positions 28 to 507 of the family's 1533-position model. The record is from RNAcentral.